UGAGAUGAGUUUUCCCUGGCACUAUAAGUGUCCUAAAGGGUUGUCGUAGACUACGACGUUGAUAGGCAGGGUGUGUAAGUGCUGCGAGGCAUUGAGCUAACCUGUACUAAUUGCCCGUGAGGCUUAACCAUACAACACCCAAGGGGUUU
RNAcentral lists this ribosomal RNA (149 nucleotides) under Vibrio cyclitrophicus. Its description in RNAcentral is "partial 23S ribosomal RNA". The stretch from base 1 to 131 matches the Rfam family "Bacterial large subunit ribosomal RNA", at positions 2800 to 2925 of the family's 2925-position model. Lineage: Bacteria; Pseudomonadati; Pseudomonadota; Gammaproteobacteria; Vibrionales; Vibrionaceae. The record is from RNAcentral.